UACAGAGGUCCCGAGCGUUGUUCGGAUUUAUUGGGCGUAAAGGGUGCGUAGGCGGCGGAGUAAGUUGGGUGUGAAAUCCCGGGGCUUAACCUCGGAAUGGCAUUCAAUACUGCUUCGCUCGAGUACUGGAGAGGAGGCUGGAAUUUACGGUGUAGCAGUGAAAUGCGUAGAUAUCGUAAGGAAGGCCGGUGGCGAAAGCGAGCCUCUGGACAGUUACUGACGCUGAUGCACGAAGGCCAGGGGAGCAAACAGG
RNAcentral lists this ribosomal RNA (253 nucleotides) under uncultured bacterium. RNAcentral describes it as "partial 16S ribosomal RNA". It matches the Rfam family "Bacterial small subunit ribosomal RNA", at positions 524 to 776 of the family's 1533-position model. The record is from RNAcentral.